AUUAGGUUUUGGGGCUAGGGUAAGGUUUAAGGUUUUUGGCGUUAGGGUUAAAAUCACCGUCCAAAACCUUUGUAGGAACUCUUUUCCGACCUUUUGGAGUUAGUUAGACCAAAAAAAAAGAAAAAAGAAAAAAAUAUAUUUGGGGUCUUCGGGCUUCCUGAAGGAAAUACCCGGGUAUGAGGUUAUGGGGCUAGGGUAAGGUUUAAGGUUUUUGGCGUUAGGGUUAAAAUCACUGUCCAAAACCUUUGUAGGAACUCUUUUCCAACCUUUUGGAGUUAGUUAGACCACAAAAAAAAGAAAAAUGAAAAAAAUAUAUUUGGGGUCUUCGGGCUUCCUGAAGGUAAUACCCGGGUAUUAGGUUAUGGGGCUAGGGUAAGGUUUAAGGUUUUUGGCGUUAGGGUUAAAAUCACUGUCCAAAACCUUUGUAGGAACUCUUUUCCAACCUUUUGGAGUUAGUUAGACCAAAAAAAAACGAAAAAUGAAAAAAAAAUAUUUGGGGUUUUUGGGCUUCCUGAAGGUAAUACCCGGGUAUUAGGUUAUGGGGCUAGGGUAAGGUUUAAGGUUUUUGGCGUUAGGGUUAAAAUCACUGUCCAAAACCUUUUUAGGAACAUGUUUAAGAC
Molecule: non-coding RNA, 620 nt
Organism: Xyrichtys novacula (pearly razorfish)
Lineage: Eukaryota; Metazoa; Chordata; Actinopteri; Labriformes; Labridae
Source: the annotation of a GenBank genome assembly